UAGUAUGUGAAAUUCGCUGCGGCUAAUGCAAAUUUUUUUUUUUUACAAGUUCAAUCCCACGUAGAACAAUGCAAGUGAGCAUGUAUCUCAAAUCAAAAGAUAAAAUAAAAUUCCACUCAUUUGGAUAAUGAUACUUUUAAAACCGUAUUGAUUUUUUCACUACAUACUAUUUUAUUAUAUUUAUUAUGAAGUAUCAGUCCAAUUGAGUCGAUGGUUUUGCAAGUUUUGAGAUUUUUUGUAAAUAGGCAAAUCUCCUUAAGUCCCUACUUCCCCAUAUAAAUCAUCUUGGGUUCUAGUGUGGUUUUCCCCCCAUCUUAUUCACAUAUCCACCCUCCCCCACCCCACAUGCAUGCUCCGAACCCCUCUAAAUCCAUCUCAAAUAUUGCAACCAGUAACUCUUUUAACAUUUUCAGAUUUCGCUAGUUUUCAGUUUCAUUUUCUGGAGUACAGUCCCGCAGGUAUACAUAUCUCAAGAAACUCUUUCUUGGAGCUAUCUCCAUUUGCAUUAUCGUUUUUUCUUCAACUAAAGAUGGAAAUUUUUAUAUUCUUCUUUCUUUUACAUCAGGAUUGAUUCACAUAUUUCAAUCUGUUCUUCUUUCUGUACACAAUAACAUGUUCUUAAAAUCUUUAUUCAUAAUCAAUAUAUCAGUUUCAUUUUAAAGUCCUGGGAACAAACAAGUCCUUUCUUGAACUUUCUUGACAUGAAGUUGAUCGUAGUAGCCAUUUCAGUUUCAUCUUCUAAGAAAGAAUAGGAGAUUGCAUAUAUUUCAUAUCUAGUUCAGAACACUAUUGUGCAUUACACAUUUGAGUGAUCUUCAUUUUUUUGGUAUUUAAAAUCUAUGUUCUUGAUUUCUUGAUAUAGGAGAUUCAUCCUACAGUCACAGGAAGUCUCUCAAGACUAGUUUCUUGAAUUCUUCCUGAAUCUUGGAUCGUUGCCUUGUUAGAAGAUGUUGCACUUUUUCAAGAAAAGGGCUCGAGAGGAAGGCUUAUAUCCGCCUCCUCGCGACCCUCCCCAAGAACAUCCAACUGUGGACCAGCAAGACAACAUUGAUUUUCAAGAGAAUCAAGGGCCGCGUGCUUUGUUUGCGCAGAAGGUACAGAAUCCCGGAGUUAGAGGUCCAAUAGAAGAACACGUAGGAAUGACCCCUCCAACGCUAUCAAAACUUUUUGGGCGAUUCCGCCAAGAAAGAACUUGGAUCAGAAGAAUCCGAAGGAGUUUCACAUAUCGAAGACCAUAGCAAGCUCAGGAACAUGAAGGACCAUCUGAUUCAUUAGUGCAUAAGGUAAAUAAUCUUGGAGUUGGAGGUCCGGUAGCAGAACAGGUAGAAAUGAACAGUUCAAACUAUCAAUCUUUUUUCUUUUCUUUUUCUUGGGUGAAAUUCCCCCAAGGGAGAACUUGAAUCAGAAGGAUCCAAAGGAGUUUCACAAAUAGAAGAUGACAAAGUGAUCAAGCAGAAGUCCAACCAAUUGUUCCAGGAUGGAACGAAGCCAAUGUGGUUCGAAAUGAAGACAAUUGAGAAGCUGAAAGCAUCAAUGAAUUUCAUCCUAGAAACCAAUGAAAAUAAGAAAGAAGUCGUAGAUAGAAAGAGUUGCUAGGAAAUGUCUUAGAAAAUGUGUGUGUGAUUUAAGGGGUGGGGAUUAACUCUACUAUGCCGACUCUAUUUCUUGAUUCCUUUUUGUUUUUUACUUAGUCCUUUGCUUAUUGAUUCCUGCUACGUACGAUCUUCUAUCAUCUACGAAUCUUAUGGUACUGUCCAGUUAUUUUGCUUGCUUAAAGGCUUUUCCCCAAGUAAUAAGUCUUCAUAAUGUAUAAUAAUAUGCAGUUGGACAUUAUCUUUUGUUAUGGAUUUAAUUUUUAUUCUGGCAUGAUUAAUAUUACAAAAAUGUAGGAAUAACAAUUCAAUCUUUACAUAUCAAUAAAAGAUCUAAUAGUUUUUGUUUUGUUCCAGAAAUUACUAUUUAUUACUGUUCUCUAUCCAGGCAUCAAGAAUUCUAACCUCAUUAGUUGUAUGACACCAUAUAAUCAUAUCAGUAACUUGCAUAAAAUUUCCCUGAGGGUGAUAGGACUAAACUACAUCAAAAGUUGAAAAAAACAGAGAGACUAACCGCACAUAUAUCAAGCAUCGUCUCAGUGUCACAAAGUCCAAAACUGCUCAAUCAACUCUUGUAUGCUAGACAACUCCUCUUGUGCGUCAAGUACCAUUUUGUAUGAUUCCUUUUCACUUCUGCUGAGAUGGUAGGAAGACGAUACAUUCCAGAGUCCAAUCUAGCGCAGUCAACAAGAUUUAGCCUUGAUAACAUUUCACAGUUGGCCAUAAUAGUCUCUACCCCCUCCUUCUGUACCCCGGCACUUGUAAUUGUCAAAACUCGAAGCUGACGAAGAUCUCUAACGUGCAAGGAAAUAAUAUUGUCGAACUUAAGGCUGGAUUCUCCAGAGAAUGGCAGUUCAAAACCAGAUAGAAUUCAAGCUCCUGCAGUUUGUGCGACUUCCUAUUGAUAACUCUUCCAGCUUCUUCCAAUUCCUGCUAGCCCUUAUAAAUCCCCCGCGCUGAACAGUCUUAACUUUUUAAGAUUUGGUAACCUGAUGCAAAUUUAAAAAGACGUAGAGACAACAAAUCAUAAGACGGUACAAAUUGCCCAUGAAUAUUUCCCAUGGAGGAGAAUUCAGAAAAUAGGCUGCAA
Olea europaea var. sylvestris is the source of this 2682-nucleotide long non-coding RNA. RefSeq lists it as uncharacterized. The record is from RefSeq and is a predicted model, not a curated record. The transcript is spliced from 2 exons. Lineage: Eukaryota; Viridiplantae; Streptophyta; Magnoliopsida; Lamiales; Oleaceae.